RNAcentral lists this long non-coding RNA (4999 nucleotides) under Ananas comosus (pineapple). RNAcentral's name for it is "long non-coding RNA (ACOM_LNC041918)". Lineage: Eukaryota; Viridiplantae; Streptophyta; Magnoliopsida; Poales; Bromeliaceae. The record is from RNAcentral.
GUAAUGGUACGUGUAACUCAAUAGAGUAUGUUGUAUAAGACGACGACGGCGAGUAGUGCUUGGGGACUGCCCGUGCCUGGACCAUUUGUGGACUGUGGAGCCUGGGCCCAUUGGGCAGGCACAGCCAGCUGUGAGAGACAGCGGCCCAUUGAAGGGCAGAGUUUUGGUCAGGGCGGUAGUCCAAGCUGAGACUCGGGAGCGUGGAAUGACACACGUGGAUCAUGAGAUCGAGGAUACACCUAGUGGGUAGUGACCCAACCCAAGGAUUCGACGUGGUUUGGGGUCUUAGUUGCUCCUGGUUGGAGUGUGUGCGAAUUCUCCAAUGAGAAUUUCGCUCAAUAGUGAUAAUUGGGUCUACAUUGGUGAGCGAGAGACACUACGCGUAGUUGAGACUGGUUUAAGCGACAGGUCUACGUAGGAUUGGUGACCUGUGGUUCACCUAUGGAUUUGAUGAAAAUGGUUGAGCGAGUAGCCUCAGUGAUGGGCGUGGCCUAGAAUGACGAACGGAUGUUCAUGUGGAUUCGUUGCAUGAACGAGUUGGUGAUGAUCGUGGCAUAUGGUAUUCGGGGAUAUACUGCUCGCGUGAGACAUUGAGCUAUUGGAAGCCACGAGAGGUAGAGGAUUGAAGUUGAUGCCCCUAAGUGAAUUGGAGCUUGAGGAUAAUGCUCUUUUAAGGGCUGAGUUGGAGAUGUGCCAAAGCGUGCCAUCCCGCGGUAGAGCAAGGGUCUGGUUGAAGAUUGGAGCACUCGCAGUGGGUCGAUGCACCAAUGAUAUUGCUUCUAGGCGAUAUUGGCGAUCGAAUUGGAGUGUGACCCCUAGAGGGAUGGUAAAAGUGACGAAGAGUCGUGAAUGAGAAAUACGAACUCUUGGAUAGCCAAAGUGGUGGAGCGCCGCUUUGUUAACAUUCGGGUGAUUCGAGAGGGCUUACCCGUGUGUGCUGUGUCGUGGUGGUGGACCAUAUGACUAUUGGUGCGUUCUUGAUAGCUCCACACCAUGAGGAUAGCGGGUAGUCCCGGUCUCGAGGGAGGUGGUUUGGCCUUAGUGGGCCAGUUAGCGAAUGGAGUUGGAGCGCGUAGAGCCGUUGAGCUUCGACUUGCGCUGCUACCAAGAAUAACGGAGAACGUAAUGCACCUUGCGAGAUGCGCCUUGCAAAGUUGUACGAGUUGGGUAUUGUACCCUCCGUGUUGGGCCUCUUGGAUAGUUGCAAAGAGGGUAAAGCCAAUCCGAACUAGAAAAGUGCAUUAGCGCCCUAAAUUGCUCAAGGAGCCGAAUUGAGGCGUGGUUUGAGUUUCGCGGACGAAACUCUUUUUAAGGAGGGUAGGAUGUAAGGUACCAGACUUCUAAAAUCAUGAGGUUACGGUGUACGUUCGAUUGGAGAGCCAUUUGAAUGGUUCCGGUAAGGUUGCGGUGUAAUGUAAUAUACCGGAUUUAAAUAUAAAAAUAAAAAAUAAAUAAAAAUAGUAUGAGAUACUAUUUUAUUGGAUUUAGAGAAGUAAAAUAUAAGUCAGAAGUGACUUGUGCUGAAAUCGGGAUGAAAACAGAAGAUCUGGAAUUUUCUGUUGGAAAUGGGACAGAAAAAUUAGCAGAAAAUGCACAGUCUCAGAAAAUUAUGAAAAUUGGAGGAUAUGUCAAAAAUAUUUUUAUGAGGCUAGAUUUAAGGUUUCAUAUUUUUCUGACACCCGUAGAGUGAGAAAUAAAAUCCGAGAGUUAUCUGCUAAAGAUUACAGUUCGGCACAGUUUUCAGUGACCAAACGGNAGGUUAGCAGGUUAGGGUUUAGUCAAGUCGUUGUGUUUCAGGAGCUAAUGGCACCAAGGAGACACUACGCGCGUAGAACCGUUCCGGCACCGCCUCCCGAGGUGCCCGAGCGAGCUGGGUCAAGUGAGGUGCAAGAAUUACGAGCGCAGAUGACUACGCUUAUCGGCGUGAUUCAACGUCAAGGAAGUCAGAUCGAGCGGCUCCAAGAGCUUUUGGAGCGACAAGUGGCGACAGCGGCCGUGACGACAACUGAAGGCCAAGGUCUGCCCGCGCCCUCGGCUUGCGCGCCUGAUGCGCCUAAGGGCGUGAGCAUUUUGGUGACUCCGGCGGUGGCGCAUCCCCUGCCGGUUAGUGUCCCUCUGGCGGCUUCGGGUCCUACGAUACUCGAUGCGGCAGCUGGGGAAGUGAGACAGGAACGCGAGGCGUUCAAGGAGAGUGGAGUGAAGAAACGGUCUGGUGGUGGUUCGGGGGAACAGUCUAGUUCCAAAAAGGCCCCGAGGUACCAAAAGGGGCGGUCCAUUAGACAAGGACCUAUGCGGUGCGUGAUCUGCGGUAGAGAGGAUCACGCAGCGACUUGUAAGGAUCGGGCGGGUCGGUGCUUCAAGUGUGGUCGGGCGGGACAUAUGGCCCGUCAAUGCGCGGAAGGAGUGCCACCUACCCCGUCAGUUGCAUCCGCCCCAGAGAUCCAGCGGUAGUUCGGUGGAGUUCCGUCUGCUACUGCCAUAUCUGCGGGGUGUGUGAUUUGUGGAGGAUCCCACCAAGCGCGGUGGUGUGUGCUGCGAGAGGGAAGGUGUUUUCGUUGUGGGCAGUCUGGCCACGUGAAAUAUGAUUGCCCCUUGGGCGAUGGACGACUCCCGCCGACAGCGACAACUUUCACCUCUCCAGGUCAGAUGGUGGAUGUGCAGCUUGUGGCACGGUCUGGAGAGCUUGUGGUGGUCGAGCGGCCGGAGGACUUUCAGGGAGCGCCAAGCGGCCCUGGAUACGCCGCUCAAGUCGAGGAACCUGCUGCUGUUGGUGAUGUCACCGCAGGUAUGAUUUAAUUAAGCAACCAUACAUUCUAGCAAGAAGCAGUUUGAGCAAAUGCAUACAUUUGCUUGUGGUCUUUUGCUACUAUCUACAUAUUGGUGUAGUAGAGACCAGGAUGCAGGUCAGAGGAGUCGCCCAGCAUGCCUAAGUCGUGGUGGUAUGUCGCCUACCUAAAGGGGAUUGGUGAUUAGUCAAUGCCGGCAAGUUGCUGGUGACGAACCAAGAGUAAGACUCCCUUUGGGGGAUCUGCGCGUUGUAGCGUGAGGCAGGGCACACCUAGCCGUACGUUGCUUGUAAGCAGUCGGCAAGGGUGUGGUAGAAAGGCAUUCGACGGAAUCGAUUGCCUGGUCUCCCUCCGAUGGUCUGGGAUGAGUUCGGGGAUUAGUAUCCUCCGUUUACUUCCCCGAUGGUGAUAGAGGGAAGCUUCAGGAUAAGUUUCCGAAGCUGUGGCAGAUAAACUGCACCGUGAGACGAUACGAGCGGGAGUUCUCCCGUGUCGUGAAAUGCAUCCUACACGUAGUGCGGAUGACGAGGACAUGGCCGAAUUGCUUGUGCGGAGAUUUCGGCUGGGCGUUGUUAAAGUCGUGUAUGUAGGGAAAGUGGAUUCUCGAAAUUCGAGGAUUUGACUUCGUCAAAUAUUGACAAAUUAUCGAGUGUGUGGGCUUCGGAAAAGUCGAAGAUGUCUAAAUCACCAAGAGUGCAUUGGAAUUGAGUCCGCGAGAGCCAAUAGUGCAAAGCCUGCACUUGUUGGAAGUUGCUCUCGGGGGCCGGUCCCUGGCAGGGAGAGACCGGUCCCCGUAGCUGAUUGGUGCGGGGUUGCUUGAUGUAACCGGUCCCUGGGCCAGAGGAACCGGUCCCCCCCCCCGUGUGCGAAAUCGACGAGAAGCGAAAAAUUGGCUAAGUCCCGGAAAUGCCACUCUCGGGAACCGGUCUCUCAGCAGGAACCGGUCUCCCGAGGACCGGUCUCUCGGGCAAGGACCGGUCCCCGUAGCUCAAAAUUGCCCAGUUUGGGGCAAUGCCCCUUCUGGAGUGCAAUCGCAAUCCCGAACCUCGAAGGUGUCUUCUAUUAACUUCCUUGGGAUGNNNNNNNNNNNNNNNNNNNNNNNNNAGCCUGGGCCCAUUGGGCAGGCACAGUCAGCUGUGAGAGACAGCGGCCCGGUACCUACGGGUAGGGCAGAGAUUUGGUCAAGACGGUAGUCCGAGCUUAGACCCGGGAGCGUGGAAUGCCACGUGUUGGAUCAUGAGAUCGAGGAUACACCGAGUGUGUAGUGACCCAACCCAAGGAUUCGACGUGGUUUGGGGUCUUAGUUGCUCCUGGUCGGAGUGUGUGCAAAUUCUCCAAUGAGAAUUUCGCCCAAUAGUGAUAAUUGGGUCUACACUGGUGAGCGAGAGACACUAUGUGUAGUUGAGACUGGUUUAAGCGACAGGUCUACGUAGGAUUGGUGAUCUGUGGUUCACCUAUGGAUCUGAUGAAAGUGGUUGAGCGAGUAGCCUCAGUGAUGGGCGUGGCCUAGAAUGACGAACGGAUGUUCAUGUGGAUUCAUUGCACGAACGAGUUGGUGAUGGUCGUGGCAUAUGGUAUUCGAGGAUAUACUGCUCGCGUGAGACAUUGAGCUAUUGGAAGCCACGAGAGGUAGAGGACUGAGGUUGAUGCCCCUAAGUGAAUUGGAGCUUGAGGAUAAUGCUCUUUAAGGGCUGAGUUGGAGAUGUGCCGAAGCGUGCCAUCCCGCGGUAGAGCAAGGGUCUGGUUGAAGAUUAGAGCACUCGCAGUGGGUCGAUGCACCAAUGAUAUUGCUUCUAGGCGAUAUUGGCGAUCGAAUUGGAGUGUGACCCCUAGAGGGAUGGUGAAAGUGACGAAGAGUCGUGAAUGAGAAAUACGAACUCUUGGAUAGCCAAAGUGGCGGAGCGCCGCUUUGUUGACAUUCGGGUGAUUCGAGAGGGCUUACCCGUGUGUGCUGUGUCGUGGUGGUGGACCAUAUGACUAUUGGUGCAUUCUUGAUAGCUCCACACCAUGAGGAUAGCGGGUAGUCCCGGUCUCGAGGGAGGUGGUUUGGCCUUAGUGGGCCAGUUAGUGAAUGGCGUUGGAGCGCGUAGAGCCGUUGAGCCUCGACUUGCGCUGCUACCAAGAAUAACGGAGAACGUAAUGCACCUUGCGAGAUGCGCCUUGCAAAGUUGUACGAGUUGGGUAUUGUACCCUCCGUGUUGGGCCUCUUGGAU